Long non-coding RNA from Oreochromis aureus, 727 nucleotides. NCBI's taxonomy places the organism in Eukaryota, Metazoa, Chordata, Actinopteri, Cichliformes, Cichlidae. The record is from Ensembl.
AGCGCUUUUGUUGUUGUUGUUGUGCUAAGCUAAAAGGCAGAAUGCUACAGGCAUGGCCCUAAAGAAUGUAGCAUGCAGCGAGAAUGGACUGCCAUACACGUUAUGUGUCUGUGAGCGAGGGAGGGAGAAAAAGGAAAAGUCCGAGCUGUCACGGAGCAAAAACGGGAGCUGGAAGCAUGUAAAUAUAAUAAUAACCACCGCACCCAAGAAGAGUGCCUGACGAGCCCAUUUGUAAGCGGAGCUGCUUUCCCAGGCUCACUCUCCCACACCUGCAAAACAUUAUUCAUCAGGAUGCUGUGUACUUAAGGACCAGCUGUGGCUGUGCAUCUCUGCCAGAAUCUUGGACCGCGACCUGCUCACUCACCAGAAGGACCUACCUGUUUCAGCCAGUUCCACUCCCUGCGUCCACCUCAGCCUGGCUCACCUUAGUGAAAGUCUCAGGUCUCACAUGUGCCUGCCUGCUCUCCACCUUACCAGCUUCCUCAUCUCUGGAACCCAGCCUGCCCUCUGACAUAUCCCCUCACUACCUCCAUUCUCUGGAUCUCAAUUAAGAUAAGCCAACUCAGUUAUAACAAACAACGUUCCCUCAUUACUCUCCAUCAGCCAGUGCUAACUCAGUUUCUCCCCAUCCACAGACCCUUCCAGAUCCUCAGCAUUCUUACCAUCAUUGCCUGGCUCUGUUCUCCCUGGUUAUGUCUGCACUUUAUAAAUAAACAUCUUAAUCUGU